GAAGGACCAGAGUGCAGGAGAACAGUGGAUGGUGGCAUGACAGGCAGAAGCAGAGAAUGGUGGGAGCGGAGCGGAGGAUCAUGCUGCUGGUCUGAGCUGAAGUGAAGUCAGUAGCAGCAGAGUAGACUAGAGAGGCUAGAGAAGAGUGUGCGUUUCACAAGAUACACUGCUCCAAAAAAAUAAAGGCAAGCCUUCCAGCCAAAAGUCUCCAUGGAGCCAUAGCCUAAAGCUGGCCAUCCACCUUUGAUGUCACCGGAAUGAAAAAGACUGCUACAUCAUCCAUCAUGAUCUGUCCAUUCACACGAAUACUUGGCUCAGCUGUUCAUGUGUUAUAUAUGGAAAGAGUGGGGUGAAACAGGAUGUCUGGAUAUUAUUACUUGAUCAGCUGACUCACUCCAGUCUCUUCAAUAUCCAAGAACUGGCAGUCAUGCUACGGAACUACUCAAUGGCUUUCUCUGGUAUUGUAUGUAGAGAUGAGGGAAUUAUUGAAAAAUUAGAUUCGGCCGAUUCACCGAAUUUUCCUGAAAAAAUUUGUUUCGAUCUGAAUAAAUUUGCGGCAAAUUGAUGAGCAUGAAGCUGGCGGUCCGCCGCAAGGCGAGCUACCACCUGUUCCAGACCCUGCCUCUCAGCGCCUCUUGCCCCCGACUGUGAAACUGUGUAUGAAACUGUGAAUGUUUAAUUUAAUCAGUUAUGGUUCAUUUUUAUCGCUCCAACCUGUUUCUUUGGAUUCUUGUGGUAAUUCCAGAGGUAAUAUAUGACGACGAC
This is a long non-coding RNA of Hyla sarda, 765 nucleotides long. RefSeq lists it as uncharacterized. The record is from RefSeq and is a predicted model, not a curated record. The transcript has 4 exons. Lineage: Eukaryota; Metazoa; Chordata; Amphibia; Anura; Hylidae.